AUGCAAACAUUUGGAAUUGGAUUUAAAAGCCUUAAGGAGUGCAACCCCACCUUCUGGUUUCCUUCUUCAGUGCUUACUCAGUGGCACCUGCAUCCCUAUUUAUCAAAAAUGAUAGCAUUAACAAUGGUUGGUCCCCCAGCAGGAGAGCAGCCUGCUGCAGCAGUAGGAAGCUGUUUGAGGGACCCUGGUGAGCCAGCACAGUUUACAUUUCAGGCUGUUCCAAUUAGUGUUAAUGUCCUUUCCCCUGCCAUGUGUGGAAACUUACAGCCUUCGGCUUUCAGUCUCCUAGCCCUCUCCAAUGAGGAAAGCAGAAUGGAGGAUCCCAGAGAUGGCCAUGGACCUGUGACAUGUGAAGACUGAUAGCAGAGCUGGAGCACGUCGCCUGGCCUGGGGGUCAAGUCUGCGGGUGGAAACCUCCUCUGGAGGUGAUGCUUAAGAGGAACAGGGAGGAAACUGCACAGCAGACCAGGCUGAGCAGGAGCCAGGGCGAGAUGGAUGCAGGAACAGCCAUGGGUGAUGACCAGGGCAGCACUUGGAGAGUAACGCAAGUGGAUUGAAAGAAGGCUUUGCCCAAGGGCUGCUCAUCUGGAACAAGGGCCUAUGGGAUACGCUUCUCUUUGCUGCUGCUUUGUGGGGUGGUAGUGGGGAACCAACUGGCCAUUAGCACCUAUACGUAGGUGAAGCUAUGAGAAAUCUGCCAGCUCUCUGAGUUCCCUGUUCUUACCCUGAUGUUGCUGUGGUCACAGUCUGACUGCAUAUCAGUCUGACUUAAGUGAAUUAAUUAAGAAUUUUGCUCUCAAUGCCUUUACUCCUAUAUGGAAUAUCUUUUUUAUUUCCCAGCUGGAGAGGAGAGGUCUGCCUAAUUGAGCACCAUUCAGCACGCACGCAAUAUUCAGUUCUUCCAUAUACUGAUAAUUAAAACAAAACAAGCUACAUAGAUCUGAGUUACUAUUUUUUAUUUAUGAAAAUUGUACAUGAAAUGAUCUUCUUUGGAAGACAGGAGGAGUGAAUCAACAGAAUACGGCUCCUUCCCACCGCACCAGUGCAAUCCUUGUGGCACCCUGGUCAGUGAGCUCUUGGCUAGUUUAUUCCUAAAAGGAACUUGGCAGCUUCUUAAUUUUAUCCCGAAUGAAGACUGCUGUAUUGUCUAUGUUCUGCUUUGGAAAGGUUUCAUUGAGCCUUCACCAUCAACCUUUUUUUAAGCUAUCUGAAGAAGUUCCAGAGAAAUUUUUGUUAAUGAUCAUUCGGUGCUCAAUGUUUAGCAGAAAAGAUGCAGCUAAGUAUAUUUGCUAAACCAUAAAUAAAUUCCUUAGCUGAAUUCCUUUAUGCA
Long non-coding RNA from Numida meleagris (helmeted guineafowl), 1330 nucleotides. Lineage: Eukaryota; Metazoa; Chordata; Aves; Galliformes; Numididae. The record is from Ensembl.